UACGUAGGGUGCAAGCGUUGUCCGGAAUUAUUGGGCGUAAAGAGCUCGUAGGUGGUUUGUCGCGUUGUCCGUGAAAACUCACAGCUCAACUGUGGGCGUGCGGGCGAUACGGGCAGACUGGAGUACUGCAGGGGAGACUGGAAUUCCUGGUGUAGCGGUGGAAUGCGCAGAUAUCAGGAGGAACACCGGUGGCGAAGGCGGGUCUCUGGGCAGUAACUGACGCUGAGGAGCGAAAGCGUGGGGAGCGAACAGG
RNAcentral lists this ribosomal RNA (253 nucleotides) under uncultured bacterium. Its description in RNAcentral is "partial 16S ribosomal RNA". It matches the Rfam family "Bacterial small subunit ribosomal RNA", at positions 524 to 776 of the family's 1533-position model. The record is from RNAcentral.